Molecule: unclassified non-coding RNA, 243 nt
Filed under: Funneliformis geosporum
Lineage: Eukaryota; Fungi; Glomeromycota; Glomeromycetes; Glomerales; Glomeraceae
Description: partial internal transcribed spacer 2
Source: RNAcentral
AGAAAAAAAAUCGAAGCGUCGCUCUUUGUGAAAAAUAUUUAAUAUAUUUCGUUUUGGGCGAUUGCCUCGGAAUUGAGCCGUCUUUCAUAUGUUUAUUCAUGUCAAAGUGGCUUAAAAUUCAUCAAUCUGGUACGAUUUAAAGCGUAUUUAAGAUCAUCAUUGAUUAAGAACGCGCGAUGACGUAUCAUCUCAUGUAGUACGUUCGACCUGCUUUGUCAGGCUCAUUCGUAUACGACACUCAAC